AUACGAAGGGAGCUAGCGUUGUUCGGAAUUACUGGGCGUAAAGGGCGCGUAGGCGGUUUAACAAGUCAGGUGUGAAAGCCCUGGGCUCAACCCAGGAACUGCGCUUGAGACUGUUUAACUUGAAUUCGGUAGAGGUUGGUGGAAUUCCCAGUGUAGAGGUGAAAUUCGUAGAUAUUGGGAGGAACACCCGUGGCGAAGGCGACUCUCUGGACCAAUACUGACGCUGAGACGCGAAAGCGUGGGGAGC
This 247-nucleotide ribosomal RNA is filed under the name uncultured bacterium. RNAcentral's name for it is "partial 16S ribosomal RNA". It matches the Rfam family "Bacterial small subunit ribosomal RNA", at positions 523 to 769 of the family's 1533-position model. The record is from RNAcentral.